Molecule: long non-coding RNA, 528 nt
Organism: Girardinichthys multiradiatus
Lineage: Eukaryota; Metazoa; Chordata; Actinopteri; Cyprinodontiformes; Goodeidae
Exons: 2
Source: RefSeq, a predicted model, not a curated record
GCCUUAGUGUUUGCAAAUAGUGGUAACUUACUGGCCAAGUUAAGCUUGCUUAAAACUGAGUUGUUUUUUUUGUCUCCCAAGAACUUACCUUUUGUGUCUACUCUUCCUCAGGUCUUCCUGACCUCCAGUCUAGGUGUCGUUCCUCUGGUAAGAUCCCAAGUAUUCCUGACUUCAAGCUCCCUCGCUUACUAAGCUCCAGCUGGCUGACUACAAGCUCCAAACCUCCAAACAACCUGCAAGUGAACCUACUCUACCCUCCAACAUGAGUACAGAAUCCACCACCAAGUGCACUCACCUCACUCUGGUGUCGUCUAUCCUGGAAAGGCAAUCCAAGUAUGUGUUCCUCCAAACCAUUCAUCUGAGGAUUUCAAGUCCUACCUGUGCAACAGACAUCCACCAACCUCCCAUGCUCCACUUCAUCUUUUCCCCUCUCUGAAGACUUCCUUCAGCUCCACUCCCUGGUGUGCUUCCAGUCCUAGGUCUGUUACCUGAAGUUAUCUGUUAAAGGAAAAUAAACUGUUAAUCCUU